RNAcentral lists this ribosomal RNA (974 nucleotides) under Salmonella enterica subsp. enterica serovar Enteritidis. RNAcentral's name for it is "partial 23S ribosomal RNA". It matches the Rfam family "Bacterial large subunit ribosomal RNA", at positions 1956 to 2925 of the family's 2925-position model. Lineage: Bacteria; Pseudomonadati; Pseudomonadota; Gammaproteobacteria; Enterobacterales; Enterobacteriaceae. The record is from RNAcentral.
GUAGCGAAAUUCCUUGUCGGGUAAGUUCCGACCUGCACGAAUGGCGUAAUGAUGGCCAGGCUGUCUCCACCCGAGACUCAGUGAAAUUGAACUCGCUGUGAAGAUGCAGUGUACCCGCGGCAAGACGGAAAGACCCCGUGAACCUUUACUAUAGCUUGACACUGAACAUUGAGCCUUGAUGUGUAGGAUAGGUGGGAGGCUUUGAAGUGUGGACGCCAGUCUGCAUGGAGCCGACCUUGAAAUACCACCCUUUAAUGUUUGAUGUUCUAACGUGGACCCGUUACCCGGGUUGCGGACAGUGUCUGGUGGGUAGUUUGACUGGGGCGGUCUCCUCCUAAAGAGUAACGGAGGAGCACGAAGGUUGGCUAAUCCUGGUCGGACAUCAGGAGGUUAGUGCAAUGGCAUAAGCCAGCUUGACUGCGAGCGUGACGGCGCGAGCAGGUGCGAAAGCAGGUCAUAGUGAUCCGGUGGUUCUGAAUGGAAGGGCCAUCGCUCAACGGAUAAAAGGUACUCCGGGGAUAACAGGCUGAUACCGCCCAAGAGUUCAUAUCGACGGCGGUGUUUGGCACCUCGAUGUCGGCUCAUCACAUCCUGGGGCUGAAGUAGGUCCCAAGGGUAUGGCUGUUCGCCAUUUAAAGUGGUACGCGAGCUGGGUUUAGAACGUCGUGAGACAGUUCGGUCCCUAUCUGCCGUGGGCGCUGGAGAACUGAGGGGGGCUGCUCCUAGUACGAGAGGACCGGAGUGGACGCAUCACUGGUGUUCGGGUUGUCAUGCCAAUGGCACUGCCCGGUAGCUAAAUGCGGAAGAGAUAAGUGCUGAAAGCAUCUAAGCACGAAACUUGCCCCGAGAUGAGUUCUCCCUGAGACUUUAGGUCUCCUGAAGGAACGUUGAAGACGACGACGUUGAUAGGCCGGGUGUGUAAGCGCAGCGAUGCGUUGAGCUAACCGGUACUAAUGAACCGUGAGGCUUAACCU